Molecule: transfer RNA, 75 nt
Filed under: Cronartium ribicola 11-2
Lineage: Eukaryota; Fungi; Basidiomycota; Pucciniomycetes; Pucciniales; Coleosporiaceae
Description: tRNA-Thr (AGT) (tRNA-Thr-AGT-27-1)
Rfam family: tRNA
About the family: Transfer RNA (tRNA) molecules are approximately 80 nucleotides in length. Their secondary structure includes four short double-helical elements and three loops (D, anti-codon, and T loops).
Source: RNAcentral
GACCAGAUAGCCUAGUGGCUGAAGGCAGCACAACUAGUGAUGCUGAGGUCCUGGGUUCAAAUCCCAGUCUGGUCA